UACGAAGGGUGCAAGCGUUACUCGGAAUUACUGGGCGUAAAGGGUGCGUAGGUGGUUUUUUAAGUCCGUUGUGAAAUCCCUGGGCUCAACCUGGGAAUGGCAGUGGAUACUGGAAAGCUAGAGUGCGGUAGAGGGUAGUGGAAUUCCCGGUGUAGCAGUGAAAUGCGUAGAGAUCGGGAGGAACACCUGUGGCGAAGGCGGCCCCCUGGGCCGGCCCUGACACUGAGACGCGAAGGCGUGGGGAGCGAACGGG
This 253-nucleotide ribosomal RNA is filed under the name uncultured bacterium. Its description in RNAcentral is "partial 16S ribosomal RNA". It matches the Rfam family "Bacterial small subunit ribosomal RNA", at positions 524 to 776 of the family's 1533-position model. The record is from RNAcentral.